GAAAGAAAGAACAAAAUUCUUAGAAAGUGAAAGGAGCACUCAAGAAAGGAUGAGUAGACAUCAAUUGAUUAACAAUGUGGAAAAAGUAGCUACCCUUUCGAGCUAAGAAUCCUUACUAAGAGAUCAUCAAAGCAUAUCAAUAGCAAAAGAAGAAAUCAAAGCUAACUAAUCCAAGCCUUCUGUCAAUGUGAAGAGAAAGAAACAAUAGAGAAUCAGUACUCUUAUAGUGACAAACCCCAAACGAAUAAAAAGAUUUAUGUUAUUUUAAUGGCGGAUGAACAAACCCCAUUUUUCCACAUACUAAAAUCUAGAAGUAAUUUGAACGGAGGGAAAUGAAAGGCUACCCAGCAAAGCAGAAGCGAUGACAAUGCAGACGUUUCUAUUCGCAAGCUGGCAACUUUGAAUCAAACCCAGAAAAAAGGUUCUGGGCUUUUCUGGGAAAAGGAUUUCACUUUCCUCUUCUUCUUCUUCUUCUUCUUCUUCUUCUUCUUCCUUAUUACUCUCUUUCGUUUGUUACUGUUUGUUCAUACUUGAACUGUGAAGCCUGUGAUCAGCGAACAAGCGCUGCGGUUUCUUUUGACUUAUUUUCUUCACAUUUUAGAUAAAUAUUUUUUUCAAAUUAGAUAAAUAUUUUAGUAAUGAUUGUUUUUGUUUACUUUGUAUCAUCCAAAUUAUUUAUUAUAGUUAAAAUUAUUUUAUAGCUCUUAAAGUUUUAUUUUAG
Molecule: long non-coding RNA, 721 nt
Filed under: Linum usitatissimum (flax)
Lineage: Eukaryota; Viridiplantae; Streptophyta; Magnoliopsida; Malpighiales; Linaceae
Description: long non-coding RNA (LUSI_LNC006810)
Source: RNAcentral